This 540-nucleotide ribosomal RNA is filed under the name Mycobacterium tuberculosis. RNAcentral describes it as "partial 23S ribosomal RNA". It matches the Rfam family "Bacterial large subunit ribosomal RNA", at positions 163 to 746 of the family's 2925-position model. Lineage: Bacteria; Bacillati; Actinomycetota; Actinomycetes; Mycobacteriales; Mycobacteriaceae. The record is from RNAcentral.
UACAUAGGUUAACGAGGCGAACCGGGGGAACUGAAACAUCUAAGUACCCCGAGGAAAAGAAAUCAACCGAGAUUCCCCCAGUAGCGGCGAGCGAACGGGGAGCAGCCCAGAGUCUGAAUCAGCUUGUGUGUUAGUGGAACGGUCUGGAAAGUCCGACGGUACAGGGUGAUAGUCCCGUACACCAAAAUGCACAGGUUGUGAACUCGAAGAGUAGGGCGGGACACGUGGUAUCCUGUCUGAAUAUGGGGGGACCAUCCUCCAAGGCUAAAUACUCCUGACUGACCGAUAGUGAACCAGUACCGUGAGGGAAAGGCGAAAAGAACCCCGGCGAGGGGAGUGAAAAAGAACCUGAAACCGUGUACGUACAAGCAGUGGGAGCACCUUCGGGUGUGACUGCGUACCUUUUGUAUAAUGGGUCAGCGACUUACAUUCAGUGGCAAGCUUAACCGAUUAGGGAAGGCGUAGCGAAAGCGAGUCCGAAUAGGGCGUUCAGUCGCUGGGUGUAGACCCGAAACCAAGUGAUCUAUCCAUGGCCAGGUU